GAUGAAGAACGUAGCGAAAUGCGAUACUUGGUGUGAAUUGCAGAAUCCCGUGAACCAUCGAGUCUUUGAACGCAAGUUGCGCCCGAAGCCAUUAGGCCGAGGGCACGCCUGCCUGGGCGUCACACGUCGUUGCCCCCCCAUCUACUCCUUCGGGAUUGCGGGGGGCGGAUGAUGGCCUCCCGUGCGCCUCGUCGCGCGGUUGGCAUAAAUGCCAAGUCCUCGGCGACGCACGCCACUACAAUCGGUGGUUGCGAAACCUCGGUUGCCCGUCGUGUGCGGUCGUCGCGCAUCGAGGGCUCGAAAAAAUUGCCGGGCUCCGGCUCGGCUUUCAACGCGACCCCAGGUCAGGCGGGGUUACCCGCUGAAUUUAAGCAUAUCAAUAAGCGGAGGA
This 391-nucleotide unclassified non-coding RNA is filed under the name soil metagenome. Its description in RNAcentral is "partial contains 5.8S ribosomal RNA, internal transcribed spacer 2, and large subunit ribosomal RNA". The stretch from base 1 to 122 matches the Rfam family "5.8S ribosomal RNA", at positions 35 to 154 of the family's 154-position model. The record is from RNAcentral.